RNAcentral lists this long non-coding RNA (303 nucleotides) under Fukomys damarensis (Damara mole-rat). RNAcentral describes it as "lncRNA (ENSFDAG00000022495.1)". Lineage: Eukaryota; Metazoa; Chordata; Mammalia; Rodentia; Bathyergidae. The record is from RNAcentral.
UGUUCUCAUGGCAAACUAAGAUUAGGGGUACCAGACCACAGUGCAGGAUUCUCACUAUUAAUGUCAGCAGCUGCAGUGAAAUCCCUGUUUCUCUCAUUGCCAUGAUGUAUGUCCCCUUUUCCUGUGAAACACCAUUCUGUCUGGAUUGCUUCUCAUCAGCCCUUCUGAAGGAUCUCACUUGCAAUGACCCUUUCUCUCCAGCCAGAGUCCUUUCUCCAUACAGCAACUCACUGGUAUCCAAGUGCCCGCUCCUAACUGCAAUACUUUACGUAAAAAUUCUUCCUUGAUCUCAAAGUCCCCAGU